UUACCUUCGGGUAAUGAGGAUGGCGGACGGGUGAGUAACGCGUAAGGAACUUGCCUCUUGGACUGGGACAACUGUUGGAAACGACAGCUAAUACCGGAUAUUAUGAGAUUCUCGCAUGAGAAAUUUAUGAAAGCUAUAUGCGCCAAGAGAGAGCCUUGCGUUCCAUUAGCUAGUUGGUGGGGUAACGGCCCACCAAGGCGACGAUGGAUAGCCGGCCUGAGAGGGUGAACGGCCACAAGGGGACUGAGACACGGCCCUUACUCCUACGGGAGGCAGCAGUGGGGAAUAUUGGACAAUGGGCCACAAGCCUGAUCCAGCAAUUCUGUGUGCACGAUGAAGGUCUUCGGAUUGUAAAGUGCUUUCAGUUGGGAAGAAGAAAGUGACGGUACCAACAGAAGAAGCGACGGCUAAAUACGUGCCAGCAGCCGCGGUAAUACGUAUGUCGCAAGCGUUAUCCGGAUUUAUUGGGCGUAAAGCGCGUCUAGGCGGAAAAAUAAGUCUGAUGUUAAAAUGCGGGGCUCAACUCCGUAUUGCGUUGGAAACUGUUUUUCUAGAGUACUGGAGAGGUGGGCGGAACUACAAGUGUAGAGGUGAAAUUCGUAGAUAUUUGUAGGAAUGCCGAUGGAGAAGUCAGCUCACUGGACAGAUACUGACGCUGAAGCGCGAAAGCGUGGGGAGCAAACAGGA
RNAcentral lists this ribosomal RNA (687 nucleotides) under uncultured bacterium. Its description in RNAcentral is "bacterial SSU rRNA". It matches the Rfam family "Bacterial small subunit ribosomal RNA", at positions 74 to 777 of the family's 1533-position model. The record is from RNAcentral.